This 74-nucleotide transfer RNA is filed under the name Caldimonas brevitalea. RNAcentral's name for it is "[Polyangium] brachysporum tRNA-His". It matches the Rfam family "tRNA". From Rfam's summary of the family: Transfer RNA (tRNA) molecules are approximately 80 nucleotides in length. The record is from RNAcentral. Lineage: Bacteria; Pseudomonadati; Pseudomonadota; Betaproteobacteria; Burkholderiales; Sphaerotilaceae.
GUGGCCGUAGCUCAAUGGCAGAGCCGCGGGUUGUGGUCCCGCUGAUGUCGGUUCGACUCCGACCGGUCACCCCU